Molecule: ribosomal RNA, 371 nt
Filed under: uncultured organism
Description: bacterial SSU rRNA
Rfam family: Bacterial small subunit ribosomal RNA
Source: RNAcentral
CAGAGGGGGCAAGCGUUAUUCGGAAUUAUUGGCGUAAAGGGCGCGUAGGCGGCCUGACAAGCGACGGGUGAAAUCCCUCGGCUUAACCGAGGAACUGCCUGUCGAACUGUUUGGCUUGAGACCGGGAGAGGUGAGUGGAAUUCCCAGUGUAGCGGUGAAAUGCGUAGAUAUUGGGAGGAACACCAGUGGUGAAGGCGGCUCACUGGACCGGUACUGACGCUGAGGCGCGAAAGCGUGGGUAGCAAACAGGAUUAGAUACCCUGGUAGUCCACGCCGUAAACGAUGAGUGCUUGGUGUAGCGGGUAUCGACCCCUGCUGUGCCGUAGUCAACGCAUUAAGCACUCCGCCUGGGGAGUACGGUCGCAAGGCUG